CCCUUAGAUGUUCUGGGCCGCACGCGCGCUACACUGAUGCAUUCAACGAGUCUAAAACCUGGUCUGAGAGGGCUGGGUAAUCUUUUGAAAGUGCAUCGUGAUUGGGAUAGAUGAUUGCAAUUCUUCAUCUUCAACGAGGAAUGCCUAGUAAACGCAAGUCAUCAGCUUGCAUUGACUACGUCCCUGCCCUUUGUACACACCGCCCGUCGCUCCUACCGAUUGAACGAUCCGAUGAAAACUGUGGAUUGAGAGUCUGAGUGGGUUCGCCUACCUCAACUUUCGAGAAGCGGUUUAAAUCUUAUCGUUUAGAGGAAGGAGAAGUCGUAACA
RNAcentral lists this ribosomal RNA (329 nucleotides) under uncultured eukaryote. Its description in RNAcentral is "partial 18S ribosomal RNA". It matches the Rfam family "Eukaryotic small subunit ribosomal RNA", at positions 1470 to 1796 of the family's 1831-position model. The record is from RNAcentral.